Molecule: small nucleolar RNA, 52 nt
Filed under: Pyrobaculum aerophilum str. IM2
Lineage: Archaea; Thermoproteati; Thermoproteota; Thermoprotei; Thermoproteales; Thermoproteaceae
Description: PAEsR39
Source: RNAcentral
GUGAUGACCUAGCGCCGCCGCACUGUAAAGAUGAAGAAGGCCGUUUUUCUGA